Long non-coding RNA from Ooceraea biroi (clonal raider ant), 1789 nucleotides. RefSeq lists it as uncharacterized. The record is from RefSeq and is a predicted model, not a curated record. NCBI's taxonomy places the organism in Eukaryota, Metazoa, Arthropoda, Insecta, Hymenoptera, Formicidae.
CCACUCGGACUGCCAGAAUUCACGCGGUUUGCGAACAAUGCUUUGAAUUCUUCCUUGAUUUCCUCGUUUUCGCUGUCUCUCCUUGGCACACCUCUUUGUCAUUCUUAACGUUCUCAUUUCUUGUAAAUAUGAAGAUUGCUUUUAUCGGAUUAGAGGUAAGUGAAGCGAAGGAAAUCUCUGCUGAGAGAUCGUAAGACUUUAUAAAUAUUAACUUGUUUAAUGUACGAGUUAUCUUAGAUCCUGCGAUUAUGCAGCGUCUUUCUCAUUUCAGUGCAAUCAGACGUAAAUGCCUUUUUCUCGCCUAUAACGGUGUUGCGUAAAGGAUUAUAAAGUUAUACGCCAAUUCGCAUUUGCCGACGUAGAACGUCUCAUUUAUUAUUGACGAAUGCAAAAUUGCAAAAGAAGCCUCGUUUACCUGUCUAUUUCAGUAGACGAUUAGUAAUGUUUAACACGUUCUAGCGUUUGGUCGGUUUUCUCGUGUCUCCGUGUGACAGAAAUCUCGUAAACGAUCUAUAAUACUGUGCGUGCUUGCUGCGUAAAUACACGUAAUUAAUAACUAACAUGUCCAAGAGUAUUUCCAAAGUAUUACACCUCGGUGAGUUAUUGCUUAUUUCAAGCAAACGCAAAAUUUCUUGUCGUCGAGACUAUUAAUAAUUCUAAUAAAUUGUUCAGCUCUGUACUGAUUAGAAUCGAUUUGUGCAUGCAGGUGCAAGAGAUGAUCGUGCAAUGAGAUCACAUCCGCAAUGGCAAGUGAUUAGUCAAUGAUCGAGAGACAAAGAAUGACAGAGCAAGUAAAAUUUUUCUUAAAGAUUCCUUGAAGUAUUCUUGUUUCAGAUAAUAACUCAGAGUUACUUAUUAACGACAAAGUUUACGACAAAGUCAUCGCCUAGAGUGUAACUCACAUCAUAUCACGCUGUGAUAAUCGCAGUAGUUGAUGUGCAUGUAACUUUUAACCGUUUAUGUAUGAGGAAAUGCUUGAUUCAAGUUCAUAUUUAAGCUCCACCAAACGCUAAUACUCUCCGACAUUGAAAAGUUUAAGUGGUAUCGUAUUUUUAAGCAGGUUCAACUGUGCAAUCAACGUAAUAUUUAAUAAGAAUCGCCAGGGGACGAAAAUAAGUCCAGGGACAGCGCUUCUGCAGUUCGUGCAAACACUACGUUGCCCGCACACUUGAUUAAUCUCCUAUUUGUGUGAUCACAAGUUCCACGCGAUAUACGAGUAAAUUUACAAAAGGUAUAUCCUCACGUUAACAUUACACAUAAGACGCGCAAUUUUGGAACAACGUGAAACAAUAGCUUCACUCGAUUUUGAAGAAUUUCGAAUCUUUAUUACGCGCGACAGAAUUAUCGCAGAGUUUAAUCUAGUCCAGACUACUUGGAUCAACGAAUUCGUAAAAUCAAUAUGAAAUUUGUGAUCCUUUCCUAACGAAACAAGCGGUGAAUAAAUGAAAAAGUGUAAAUUGGUAAUCAGCCAAAGCCGCGAGCACGAAAGAGCGAAGAGGAAAGCCACGGAAUUUAAACCGCGAAACGCCAAUAUCGGAAUAACCGAAACCGCAAGAAUCAAUGCCGCAAAACAACCGCAGAAGAGUUUUAUUAUGAUAAUCGUUCGAACUGCACGAAACAAAGUGAACUCAUGCCGUAAGAUGAAGCAGAGACAAUUUAAAAUCAAAUUAUUUAUAAAUUAUUACUUCCAAAUAAAAAUAGGAAUCUUAUUGCUGAUCAUCAGAUGACAGAAACCAUUCCUGAUUCUUUGCGGAAAACUCAGAAGAAAUAAAAUGUUUCACAAAGAGUA